Molecule: long non-coding RNA, 375 nt
Filed under: Olea europaea subsp. europaea
Lineage: Eukaryota; Viridiplantae; Streptophyta; Magnoliopsida; Lamiales; Oleaceae
Source: RNAcentral
CGAGCAUUAUAUAUUAACAAAAUCAAUUAAAAUUCAUUCGGAUUGAACAAUCAAAAAUUUUCAAAUAACUUAUAAUCUGCAAAUUUUCCCAGUAAUCGCUUAUGUAGGAACUCUUGAAUUCUUUGUCACAAAUCAUAGUCAUAACUCACAAAUAAUAAAUCAAAAAAUGAAUUAAAAGGACAAAAAACAACAAAAAAAUCUUGACCAGAGGCUCGCUGUCACGAGUCAUUGAGAUCGGAGAUGCUCGAUGUUGGCUAUGACUCAACGGUAGACGACGGUAGGUAAGGGCAAGGGGCUAAGUGACCACUGGUGAGUGCACAUGCAACGGGAGGGAGAAAGUUCAGUAGGGUUUGCCUUUCGUGAAUUUGAAAUUGG